RNAcentral lists this ribosomal RNA (253 nucleotides) under uncultured Enterobacteriaceae bacterium. RNAcentral's name for it is "partial 16S ribosomal RNA". It matches the Rfam family "Bacterial small subunit ribosomal RNA", at positions 524 to 776 of the family's 1533-position model. Lineage: Bacteria; Pseudomonadati; Pseudomonadota; Gammaproteobacteria; Enterobacterales; Enterobacteriaceae. The record is from RNAcentral.
UACGGAGGGUGCAAGCGUUAAUCGGAAUUACUGGGCGUAAAGCGCACGCAGGCGGUCUGCCAAGUCGGAUGUGAAAUCCCCGGGCUUAACCUGGGAACUGCAUCCGAAACUGGCAGGCUAGAGUCUUGUAGAGGGGGGUAGAAUUCCAUGUGUAGCGGUGAAAUGCGUAGAGAUGUGGAGGAAUACCGGUGGCGAAGGCGGUCGACUGGCCUAUCACUGACGUUUAGGCACGAAAGCGUAGGGAGCAAAUAGG